GUGCCAGCCGCCGCGGUAAUACGUAGGGUGCGAGCGUUAAUCGGAAUUACUGGGCGUAAAGCGUGCGCAGGCGGAUUGUUAAGCAAGAUGUGAAAUCCCCGGGCUUAACCUGGGAAUGGCAUUUUGAACUGGCAGUCUAGAGUGCGUCAGAGGGGGGUGGAAUUCCACGUGUAGCAGUGAAAUGCGUAGAUAUGUGGAGGAACACCAAUGGCGAAGGCAGCCCCCUGGGAUGACACUGACGCUCAUGUACGAAAGCGUGGGUAGCAAACAGGAUUAGAAACCCGAGUAGUC
This 291-nucleotide ribosomal RNA is filed under the name uncultured prokaryote. RNAcentral describes it as "partial 16S ribosomal RNA". It matches the Rfam family "Bacterial small subunit ribosomal RNA", at positions 505 to 795 of the family's 1533-position model. The record is from RNAcentral.